Molecule: ribosomal RNA, 576 nt
Filed under: Neodendryphiella tarraconensis
Lineage: Eukaryota; Fungi; Ascomycota; Dothideomycetes; Pleosporales; Dictyosporiaceae
Description: partial large subunit ribosomal RNA
Rfam family: Eukaryotic large subunit ribosomal RNA
Source: RNAcentral
GCCCUAGUAACGGCGAGUGAAGCGGCAAUAGCUCAAAUUUGAAAUCUGGCUGUCUUUGGCAGUCCGAGUUGUAAUUUGCAGAGGGUGCUUUGGUGUUGGCAGCGGUCUAAGUUCCUUGGAACAGGACGUCACAGAGGGUGAGAAUCCCGUACGUGGUCGACUGCCUUCGCCGUGUAAAGCCCCUUCGACGAGUCGAGUUGUUUGGGAAUGCAGCUCUAAAUGGGAGGUAAAUUUCUUCUAAAGCUAAAUACUGGCCAGAGACCGAUAGCGCACAAGUAGAGUGAUCGAAAGAUGAAAAGCACUUUGGAAAGAGAGUCAAACAGCACGUGAAAUUGUUGAAAGGGAAGCGCUUGCCGCCAGACGUGCCCGCGGUUGUUUUCUUCCGUGGGCAGGCCAGCAUCAGUUUGGGCGGUCGGAUAAAGACCUCUGUCACGUAUCACCCUUCGGGGUGACCUUAUAGGGGAGGUGUAAUGCGACCAGCCUGGACUGAGGUCCGCGCAUCUGCUAGGAUGCUGGCGUAAUGGCUGUAAGCGGCCCGUCUUGAAACACGGACCAAGGAGUCUAACAUCUAUGCGA